UACAGAGGGGGCAAGCGUUGUUCGGAAUUACUGGGCGUAAAGGGCGCGUAGGCGGCCUGCUAAGUCGAACGUGAAAUCCCUGGGCUCAACCCAGGAACUGCGUCCGAUACUGGUUGGCUUGAAUCCGGGAGAGGGAUGUGGAAUUCCAGGUGUAGCGGUGAAAUGCGUAGAUAUCUGGAGGAACACCGGUGGCGAAGGCGACAUCCUGGACCGGUAUUGACGCUGAGGCGCGGAAGCCAGGGGAGCAAACGGG
Molecule: ribosomal RNA, 253 nt
Filed under: uncultured bacterium
Lineage: Bacteria
Description: partial 16S ribosomal RNA
Rfam family: Bacterial small subunit ribosomal RNA
Source: RNAcentral